CACAGACCGUUCUCCUGUCCCUGCUUUGGAUGCCAUGUGAACAGCAGAGUUCAUAACUGACACGGGAGGCUUGAAGAGGCUAUCGCUAUCAGUGCAGCACAGUAAAGUGGUGAAGAUGUUCUUCUGCUCACAGUUUGGAAGCAAAUUGGCAGAUCUGCAGCUGGAGCAUAUGUCAGCAUUACCUUCGAUCAAAAUGCUUCACGGAACUAUUCAUGUUAGUAUCACAAAAAAUAAAGGCUUGGCUUAUCAUUUUGCCCCACUCUUCCCUGUCUUUCUCCCUCCCCCAAGGAGCCUCCAGCACCCCUGCUGAUGGGGAUGCAGGUUCAAGCACGCAUCUCACCAACCACACACGUGGAC
Numida meleagris (helmeted guineafowl) is the source of this 357-nucleotide long non-coding RNA. RefSeq lists it as uncharacterized. Lineage: Eukaryota; Metazoa; Chordata; Aves; Galliformes; Numididae. The transcript has 3 exons. The record is from RefSeq and is a predicted model, not a curated record.